AGUGAACGCUGGCGGUAGGCCUAACACAUGCAAGUCGAACGGCAGCACAGUAAGAGCUUGCUCUUACGGGUGGCGAGUGGCGGACGGGUGAGGAAUACAUCGGAAUCUACUUUUUCGUGGGGGAUAACGUAGGGAAACUUACGCUAAUACCGAAUACGACCUACGGGUGAAAGCAGGGGAUCUUCGGACCUUGCGCGAUUGAAUGAGCCGAUGUCGGAUUAGCUAGUUGGCGGGGUAAAGGCCCACCAAGGCGACGAUCCGUAGCUGGUCUGAGAGGAUGAUCAGCCACACUGGAACUGAGACACGGUCCAGACUCCUACGGGAGGCAGCAGUGGGGAAUAUUGGACAAUGGGCGCAAGCCUGAUCCAGCCAUACCGCGUGGGUGAAGAAGGCCUUCGGGUUGUAAAGCCCUUUUGUUGGGAAAGAAAAGCAGCAGGUUAAUACCCCGCUGUUCUGACGGUACCCAAAGAAUAAGCACCGGCUAACUUCGU
This 491-nucleotide ribosomal RNA is filed under the name uncultured bacterium. RNAcentral describes it as "partial 16S ribosomal RNA". It matches the Rfam family "Bacterial small subunit ribosomal RNA", at positions 29 to 506 of the family's 1533-position model. The record is from RNAcentral.